UGGGGAAUCUUGCGCAAUGGGGGGAACCCUGACGCAGCGACGCCGCGUGCGGGACGGAGGCCUUCGGGUCGUAAACCGCUUUCAGCAGGGAAGAGUCAAGACUGUACCUGCAGAAGAAGCCCCGGCUAACUACGUGCCAGCAGCCGCGGUAAUACGUAGGGGGCGAGCGUUAUCCGGAUUCAUUGGGCGUAAAGCGCGCGUAGGCGGCCCGGCAGGCCGGGGGUCGAAGCGGGGGGCUCAACCCCCCGAAGCCCCCGGAACCUCCGCGGCUUGGGUCCGGUAGGGGAGGGUGGAACGCCCGGUGUAGCGGUGGAAUGCGCAGAUAUCGGGUGGAGCACCGGUGGCGAAGGCGGCCCUCUGGGCCGAGACCGACGCUGAGGCGCGAAAGCUGGGGGAGCGAACAGG
RNAcentral lists this ribosomal RNA (405 nucleotides) under bacterium. RNAcentral describes it as "partial 16S ribosomal RNA". It matches the Rfam family "Bacterial small subunit ribosomal RNA", at positions 355 to 776 of the family's 1533-position model. The record is from RNAcentral.